CCGUCUUUUGCCAAUGCUCGGUCAGUCAGUAUCAGGACUGAUCUUGAGCCGGAUACCCAUGCUACGGUACGGGUACGAGACAAGAAGAAACUCCAGACAACGUUCUUUGAGUACGAAACCUUCAGUGAAAUCACCAAAUGGAGGCAUUCGUAAUUUAUCUGUUGUUACAUCG
This 172-nucleotide small nucleolar RNA is filed under the name Tolypocladium ophioglossoides CBS 100239. The record is from RNAcentral. Lineage: Eukaryota; Fungi; Ascomycota; Sordariomycetes; Hypocreales; Ophiocordycipitaceae.